GCACCUGGCUAUGGAAGGUAAAAGAAAAUUGCAACAAAAGGUCCUAACAAUCCAAUAGGAUUAUAGAGAAUUUAUAAUUAAACAUUAACCAUUAUAAUCAAACAUUAAGAAAGCUCAAUUAAAUUUUAUUAAAGUUAUAAAAGAAACACAAGGAAAUCUUAAAGAAAUAUAAAAGAAUAUUAAAGAAAACUUAGUCAAACCCUAACAAAAAUCUAAUUGAACCUUAAAUUCUAACCAAAUCCUAAUCCUAAUCUAACCUUAAACAAAUCCUAGACAAACCCUAAAUCCUAAACCAAAUCCUAAUCAAAUCUUAAUCAAAUUCUAAACCUUAAACCAAUUCCUAAUCAAAUCUUAAAUCAAACCUUAAAUCCUAAUCCAAAUCCUAAAUCCUAAAUCAAAUCCUAAAUGAAAUUCUAAAUCCUAAAUCCUAAACCAAAUCCUAUACCAUACCUUAAUCCUAAAAAAUCCUAAAUCAAAUCCUAAACCACAUCCUAACCCUAACAAAUUCUAAAUCCUAAAUCCUAAACCAAAUCCUAAUCCUAAAUCCUAAUCAAAUCCUACUUCAAACCAAACCCUAAUUACAGAUUUGAAAAUUAAAUAACUAAAGAUUGAACCGUUGAUUCUAAUUCAAAAUUUGCACACUUCUUGGAAUUUAAGUUAAAAACCAGCAUAAAAAUUUUGAAGAAAAUCGCACUUACCAAUUAGUCGAUGACCUCAAAAUUCUGCUCGGAUGUUGGCUAGUCUCUCUUUCUCCAAUCUUGAUGCCAACUUCCAACACUGAUAUCUCUUUUUUCCACUAUUUAAUUGCUUCUAUCUUAUACUUGCAUAUAGAAAAUCAAGUCUUCUAGUGAUAAAACCAAAAAUCUCUCCAAUCCAAAUGGCAAAUUAUUAGAUAUCUAAGAAAACUUUACUCGUCUUCAAAACCCUAAAUUCCGAGACCUUAGCCCAUAAAAAUCUUCAUAUGUAUCGAUCUAACCAUUUGAUUGACCUCAAAUCUCUUUCACACAUUCACAACAAGCAUACUAAUAAUUUUUUAAACUUUCACUUGUAAAAAUGCUACAAAAGAUAUGAAAUCCAAACAUUUGUAAACUGGUUUUAUUUCUCAAAGAUCUGAAUUCAUAGAGAACAUCACUUGCUUUGAAAAUCCUUCAAAAAUCCAAUACUGAUCCAAAUGAUACAAAAUUACCUUUCAAAAAUCCCUUCACAAGUCUUCUCUCUAAUUCCACUCUCCGAUCUUCCAAAGAACCCUUGAAUCGCCGUCAGAGCGUGGUUUUGUGCCUCAGGGUCUGAUUUCGACCCAGGUUCAUAACCGGUCCUCUUCAAGUAUCAACUUUCGUCUUCUUGAGGUAAUUUUUACUAAUUUGCACUCCUAACUCCUCUCUACAUAUGUCUAUAUCCUUUAUUUUUCUAAUCUACCUUGUUUUGUCUUAUUUAUGACCUUACAAAGUAAAUGGAGGCAUAAUUUGUAAAAAGGCAACAUUAACACGUUUAAUUCUUCUACCCUUUGACUAAUAUCUAUUUUUCCAAGAUAAUUUGCUACAAUAUUUUUGAAGUGAGAUCCUCAAAAUUUGAUAUUUUCUUCACCCUUUCACUUGUUAGCUGUGUUAUAUCACGACAUCCACCCCCCUGAACCUGUACAUCCUCUGGUAUGUCCAAGUUCCUUCAUUAUAUUGAUAUCGAAUGUUCUUCAUCUUAGUCAAAUUCUUGAUCUUCAUUUUGUUCUUUUUCUUCCAUCUCAAUAUCUCCUAUUAGAUUUUGUUCUUCAUCAAAACAAAUAUUUUUACUUCUUUGAUUAAAUAAUUUAAUUCGCUUGCCUACUAUUGGUAUCUUUAAAUCUGUACCAUCCAGUUCUCGUAACAAGUAUGUUCUAUUCUCGUGCACUUGUUUGACAACAUAAGGUCCAAACUAUCUCCUUGCAAAUUCCUUUGCCGUACUAUAUUGGUUGUCCAAACUAUUAUCAUAAACCAACAUCCAAUCACCAUUUUGAAUUGGUUUUGGAUACAAUCGAUGCUUUUUGUCAAACCUCUCCUUGUUUUUUUCUCUCGCUUCUUUCAACUUUCUCAUAGCUACUUCAAUGUCCUCAGGCCUUCUUUCAAGUUGUUGAAUUCAUAAUGCCAAUAACUCUUCUUUUGUUAAACCAUCUUCCCAAGGUAAUAUAGUCCAUGUUGAUACAACCUCCUCUAUCGGUAUUACCAGUUUUUGACUAUACAUCAAUUCUGCUGGUAUGUAUCCUAUAACCGUACUAUGAGUUGUACGAUCUGCCCAUAAUACAAAUCGUAAUAAUUUAGGCCAAUCACUUAUCUUGCAUGUGCAUGCUUUAACCAAUGCUUUAAUAAUUGGAGAAUGUCCACGUUCACUCUUGCCAUUCCCUUCUGGAUUAUAUGCUGUUGUCAAUGCAAGUUUAAUAUCCAUCUUUUCAAAGAACUCUUGUGCUUCAUUUGCAUACAAUUCUCCUCUAUCUGCAGUGAUUUUUUCAAUACAUCUAUACCGGCAAAUAAUUUCUUUUAAUAUAAACUGACAUAUUUCUUCCGUAGUCUUUGUUUAAAGUGCUCUUCCCUCUACUUGAUUUGUCAAAUCUUCUCGAGCAAGUACUAAAUAUUUCCUCUGAUCAAAUCCUAUUGGCAUUACAACUAAAUCAACCACCCAUUUAUAAAGAAUUAUUAAUAGGUAUAUAGGAUACAAACCAUCUUAAUGAAGAAUAUUUGAAUAUAUUUGGCAAGUUUCAUAAGAUCCUACAAAAUCCGCUACAUCCCUAUACAUGCCCUUCCACCAAUAUUUUUCUUUCAACUUAAUAAAUGUUGUCCAAAUACCUCGAUGCCGUGCCCAUAAACUUUCAUGAAAUUUCUUAAUAAUCUUUUGUUGAGCUUCUAAACCACAUAUCACUUGUUGUGGUACUUCUCCUCUCUUCUUUGGAUGCUUCCAUAAAUAUCCAUCACGUAAAAAAUAUCCAUAGGCUUUCUUUUAGAUUUUUUUAAAUUCUUGAUCUGUCCAACCAUCUUGUCACUUUAAUGUGCUUAAAUAUUCUCCAAUGUCUUUCCAUUCUUCUUCAUAUAGAUCUCUUGAAAAUAUUUCUAAUAGUAUAUUCAAACAUAUACUUUCUUCCUUUCAUAAUGCAUUAAUAUAAAAAUUUGUACCCACAUCAUCUUCUAAAUCUAUCAUAUCUUCUUCAUCGUAAUACCUUGCUCUUGAUAACAUAUCUGUGACUGAAUUUUCUUUUCCUAUAAUAUGUUUAAAUUCCAAAUUUAUAGAUUUGAUAUAUGCCAUCCACAUUAACAUAGCAAUAUCGAGAGUUGAAUAACUUGUAAUCAUACCCAAUAAAGGUAGACAAUCUGUUUCUACAACUACUGAUGCACUAAUCAAAUACUCCCUUUUAUUUUUCAUAGCUAUUACUACACCUCAUAAUUUUCUUUUGAUUUGAGCAUAUAUCCUUUGUCUAGCAUUCAAAACCUUUGCUCCAAACCUUACUACAUAUCUAUUCCCUUGUUCAUCAUCUUGUCCAACUGCCCAACCUAUUCCAAUUGGACUUGCAUCAACUGUUAAUAUUAUUGGCCUUCCACAUUCAUAAUUUAUUUUCUUCAAAGUUGGAGGUGAAGAAAGAAAUUCUUUUAAAUUUUCCAUAGCUUUUCUUUGUUCUUCUUUUCAUUGAAAUUUUUGAUUCUUUCAUAACAACUCAUAUAAUGGAUCUGCUAUAUGUGCAAAAUAAGGUAUCCAUAUAUGAUAGAAAAUACAUGCUCCUAAAAACCUCUUGACUUCUGUUGUAUUUGCACACUCUUUCAUUUUUUUUAUAAUAUCAACUUUUUCUCUACUUAGUUUGCAUCCAUAUGAAACACACAUGUGUCCUACUACCAAAACUUCUUUUACUCCAAAUAUUAAUUUUAUUCCUGAUAAGGUUAAAUGAACUUCUUCUAGCCUUGUCAAAAUCUUCUCACAAUCAUCAAUAUGAUUUGCCACAAACUUUCUACAUCCCUUUGAAUCCAAUGUCUCAUCCUUUCUUUCUUCUUGACAUUCCUUAAUUGGCACAUCAUCUAGAAAAGGCAUUGUUAUUCUUGAAAUAAAAUCUCUUAGUACCUUAUGCAUUCCAUUCAUCAUAUGUGCCAUAGAAUUUGUAGCCCCUUAUGGUAAUGUACACAUUCUGACCAAUCCCAAUGGUGUCUUCAUAGUUGUCAAAUCUCUACUUUGCAUUGCCAAUUGAAAUUGAUCGUAUCCUGAGUAAAGAUCUCACAUAGAAUAAAUUGAUCUCUCUACAAAUGCUUCUGCAAACUCAUCCACAAUUGGACUCGAGUCCAUGUUUCUAAUAGUGAUUUCAUAUCUUAAAUAAACCUCAAUGUUUGUUUUUUCUUAGGUACUGUGAACCACCAAUUGGAAUAUGGUACAAUAGAUGGUUUUAAAAUUCCCAUCUUAAUUUUUUCAUUGAGUAAUUCAACUAGCUUUGGCAAAUGGGCCUUUGAAACUAGAAUUGGCUUCAAAUUCUAUGGUUCAUGUGAAAUUAUAAAAAUAACCAUAGGUGCUACAAUACGCGGAUCAAUGCACUGUAUUUUAUGUGAUUCAAAUGCAAAUGGUUUACCAUGUCGUAAAAAUAUUUCUUUAAAACAUCUCUCUUCAUUUCUUGUCAAAAAUUUAUCACAUCUAAUUUUUAAACCAUCUAACGUCAAAUUAUCCUUGAAUUCAUGACCUAUUUUCCUUGGAUCUCUUAAGUUAAGUUGCAUAGAAGCCCCUUUAAUCCUUUCUUCAAAAUCCGAUGGUAGUGGCAAUGCCACUGAUUUAACCUUCCUUGUAAUAAUCUUGUAUUUUGUAUUCACCUUCACUUCAUACCUAUCCAUAUAUUCUUUUAUUCUAUCACAAAAUUGCUUAGAAUGGACAUUUAUUACUUUAUCACCUCUUUCAAAAUCUCCAUUCAAUAAUAUUUAUAAAUCAUCCAUAGUAUCACCAAAAUAAGAUUCUUCAAAUAUCCCUGAUAUGUAUUCAUCUUCAUCAAUCAUUCUACAUUUCUUUAAUCCCUGUUCUACAUUCUUAACAUUUUUCUUAUCUAUUAUACUAAAAUUAUUUAUAUUUUUGAAUAAAAUAUAUCCGUCUCGCAAUAAUCCUACAAUAUCUUUAUCCUUUCUAUUAGGCGGGAAGCCUUCACUCUUUUUAUUAUUACAAUCCCGCUUUACAAUCUAGUAAAAAUGUGUCUAGUAAAAAUCCUUUGAGUCUUCAAGAUCUUCAAAUUCUUUAUGUAUCUUUGGCAAAGGAUCCCUAUUUCUUCCAUGAUUUGCACAAACUGUUAAAAAAUUGCAUUGUCUUCUUUCUGUCUUGACUUCUUAUCCUUGCAUAAGCUAAUCCAUCAUUCAUAACCUUUGUCUCCAUUCGUGUGGCAGUAAUAUAUGGUUGUCCUAAUAUAAUAGGAUAUGUAGACAUAUCUUACACAAAGAGAUUUUUUCUUUUGAAUAACAUCUCCUAUUAUCACCUUGAUAUUUGGACAAGCUCUAUACAAAUUCUCCUUUGAAUUAUUUGUUGCUCUUAUCAUCCACCCAUGCUCAAUAUCAAUAGGCCAAUUUCUCCCUUUAUAUAAUUUUGUUGACAUUAAAUUUAUUUCAGAACCAUGAUCAAUCAAUGUUACAAUUGGUUCUUCUAAAUCUCCCAAUUUUAUUAAAGUUUCUAUAGUAGCCGUUGUCCAAUGACUCUGAGAAUAAUGACUAGAAGCUUGAAUCAUAUUUUCUUUUCCUGUAAAUUUGACUCGUGAAACAUCUCCAACAAUUUGUAUUUCAAUUUCUUCAUCUUUAUUGUUACCUAUUGCCUUUAUAUCUUAUACAUUUGAUGUCAUAAUAUCACCAAUAGAUUGCCCUUUUCUUUUUAUUGUAUCAAUAAUAACUUCAUGAAAUUCUUGUUCUGCAAUUCCUAGAAUUUUACCAAUUGUAAAUUCAACCUUUCCACUUAAAAUCCGCUCCUUCAAUACUUUCUUUUAACUAUAGCAGCUUCAAUAUUUGAUUGUAAUUUAUAAGCAAGAACCUUUGCUUUUUCUUUCACAAUCUCCCUCUCCUUUGUAGAAAUAUUCUCUAUUAUCUCUUCAUGCAUAGGAUUCUUCUAUUGUCAAGUUUUAUCUCUCCUUGUGAUUCUUUUUUAUGGCCCUUCAUGAUUUUCAUCUCUCUUUUAUUUUUCUUCUAUUAAUGCUUCAUGUUGACUCCUUGUAAUAUGAGCAUGAACUGAUAAUCUAUCUACUGGAUCAUCUCACCCAGUAAUUUGCCAAAUAUUAUUGUCAACAUGUUUUAGAUCAUGUUUAGUAAAAUUUCCCUUUUUAGCAUAAUUCAUUGCACUUGACCAUAAAGAACUAGAUUCUCUUGGAUACUCAAGAUUUAUACUUAAGCAUUUGCUUGGAUUUGCCUCCAUCCAAAAUGUUGAUGCUUCAUUGCUUGAAGUUGUAUGCACCUUGAAAGCAUCUCCUUCUAUUGGUCUUAAAUUUUGUCUUAUUGAUAUUCUUGAUGAUUGAUCCAUCUCUUCAAGUUUUAUAAAUUUUAUUUGCAAAUCUCUCAUCCUUCAUAUGAUUUCAUCAAUGCCCAUUUCUUCUCUCUUUGAUGUAGCCAUUGAAGGUUGAAUCAUAGAUGUAGGAUAGAUAGCAAGCAUUUUUCCUUUAGAUACUUGCAAUGGUCUUUGAAUUUCGAUCCUAUCUUUUUUCCUUUCUCUUUUUGUAAGCACUCCAAUCACCUCUUCUACUUUCUUCCAAUUUGUUGUCAAUCCUUCAACUUCUUCUUUAUCUUCUAGCAAAAUUUUUAACUUUUCUUGUAAUUCUCCAUUAGCCGCUUGAAUAAAAAGCUCCACUUUACUUGGAUCUAAUAAUUGCCUCUCUUUCUUUAAUAAAUAAGAAUAUUACUUUUCAAACUCUUUUAAUAAUUAUGUUGCUAGUAGAUCCUUCUUAAGCCUUUCAAUUCAUUCAAAAAACGACUUCUUUGUAACUCAGUCACUAUCUUCUAAAAAAUACUCAUCUUUUAACACUUCAAAUAAUUUUUCCCAUGAACCUCCAAAAUAUCCUAUAAUAGACUUCACAUGAUUUCUUAUUUCUGGUGCAGUAGCAAUUUAAAUAGCUGAACCAUCUCCUUCUCUGAAAUACGCUUCAAUUCCAUUUCUUUUACAUAACACCUUAAAUAUUUUGUAAUAUCCUUCCCUUUAAAUUAAUCAAUCUUGUCUACAACAGCUUGUAAUGCUUUAUCUGCUAUGCCCUCUUUGCGAUCCUUAACCUGUUGUUGUUGCAUGAAUAAGGCCAAUGCCUCAAACAUGCUUGCAAAGUUGGGAUCAAAAUACAUACCUUGUCUUUCAAUUGAAGCUCCACCUCCAACUUCAUUUGAAGCACCACUAAAAGCUCCUCCUUCCAUUCUCUUGCCUUCCUUCUCCAUAACCCAAAUAGAUCAAAGAAACUCCAAAUACCUUCCAUCUCAAGUUUUUCAUGUCGGGUUCACCAAAUAUAUCGUAUUAUGUGAAGUCUUACUUGAGAAUGCACCAAACACUUGGCUGUGGAAGGUAAAAGAAAAUUGCAACAAAAGGUCCUAACAAUCCAAUAGGAUUAUAGAGAAUUUACAAUUAAACAUUAACAAUCAUAAUCAAAUAUUAAGAAAGCUCAAUUAAAUUUUAUUGAAGUUAUAAAAGAAACACAAGAAAAUCUUAAAGAAAUAUAAAAGAAUAUUAAAAAAAACUUAAUCAAAUCCUAACAAAAAUCUAAUAAAACCUUAAAUUCUAACCAAACCCUAAUCCUAAUCUAACCUUAAUCAAAUCUUAGACAAACCCUAAAUCCUAAACUAAAUCUUAAUCAAACCUUAAUCAAAUCCUAAACCAAACCCUAAAUCCUAAUCCAACCCUAAUUCAAACCCUAAUCCAAAUCUUAAACCCUAAAUCAAAUCCUAAACCAAACCCUAAAUC
This 7887-nucleotide long non-coding RNA is filed under the name Physcomitrium patens. RNAcentral describes it as "long non-coding RNA (PPAT_LNC012055)". The record is from RNAcentral. Lineage: Eukaryota; Viridiplantae; Streptophyta; Bryopsida; Funariales; Funariaceae.